UAAGGCAAAAUCGCCAGAAGUUACUGAGGUGAAUGCUGUGCAAGCAGCAGCAGCUUUUCUGGGGCCUGUGGCAGUGGUGGUGUUCCUGCAAGCUCAAGAUUUGUUCUAGGUUAUCUGUUGAAACCCAGCCAGGUCUUUGGUGGAAAAAUCCCUGCCUUUUGUCUACAUUUCACUUCUGCAGCAUCAGCCAGACUGUUUCCAUAUAAAAGACGUGACUGGAAUUUGCAGCAGUGGGGAUUUCAGUAGGGGGGCACUAAAACCUGCACAGCCUCCUUUGGUGGGAUCUUAUGCUGCGCUGGCAUUUCGGGAAACCUGAAAGCUAGAAGACACUGCUUUAGGAAAAAGGCAAAUCCUCUGCUCUCAGCUGCACAGGAGACUACUUUCUGUUCCAGCUUGAAGUCCUUUGGUCUGAUUCAGAUUCAUGCACUGCCCAACUGGAGUGGAGAGGAAGAAACAAUUGCACCCAGAAAUCAAACAGUGUCUGAGAGGCAUUUGGUGGUUUAUAUUUAUGGGAAAAAAAGCUGGUGUUCCCACUUCCAUGAGCAUCAGUGUGGCUGGUUUGAAGGGCUGGCCUCAGCUCUGUUCCCUGUCCCCAGUGCUCAGGGGGAAGGUCCUCUUUACUGUCAGACACAAAACUUCUUGGGUGAUGUGGUGCUGGAAUUGCCUGCAAAACCUUCAGGAAUGAGCAGACUUUUCAGAGAGACUGGAACACAUAACUGGAAAGGAUCACCUGCUUACCUGAGAAUGCCUUCAGAGUAUUUUGAUGAUACUUUUUUGUGAAAUAUUUUGGGUUUGCUAAAAGAGAAAAGUAAGUAGUUUCUCUCUAAUAUACUUCAAAUAUAUUAUUUUUUCAUUUAUCAUAAUCAUAGCUGUCUGUACUCAUGAUUUUUUGCUUUUAUCUUUGUUUGCAAUUCAUAGGGUGAGGUUUUUUCCCCAAUUU
Molecule: long non-coding RNA, 940 nt
Filed under: Zonotrichia albicollis (white-throated sparrow)
Lineage: Eukaryota; Metazoa; Chordata; Aves; Passeriformes; Passerellidae
Description: lncRNA (ENSZALG00000013677.1)
Source: RNAcentral